RNAcentral lists this ribosomal RNA (253 nucleotides) under uncultured bacterium. RNAcentral describes it as "partial 16S ribosomal RNA". It matches the Rfam family "Bacterial small subunit ribosomal RNA", at positions 524 to 776 of the family's 1533-position model. The record is from RNAcentral.
UACGAAGGGGGCUAGCGUUGUUCGGAAUUACUGGGCGUAAAGCGCGUGUAGGCGGGCCGUUAAGUCGGGGGUGAAAGCCCAGAGCUCAACUCUGGAAUUGCCUUCGAUACUGGCGGCCUGGAGCAUGAUAGAGGCGAGUGGAAUUGCGAGUGUAGAGGUGAAAUUCGUAGAUAUUCGCAGGAACACCAGUGGCGAAGGCGACUCGCGGGAUCAUUGAUGACGAUGAGACGCGAAAGCGUGGGGAGCAAACAGG